GUCAGGAUGGCCGAGGCGGUCUAAGGCGCCGCGUUCAGGUUCGCAGUCUCCCCUGGGGCGUGGGUUCAAAUCCCAUUUCUGACA
Molecule: transfer RNA, 84 nt
Filed under: Ameiurus melas (black bullhead)
Lineage: Eukaryota; Metazoa; Chordata; Actinopteri; Siluriformes; Ictaluridae
Rfam family: tRNA
About the family: Transfer RNA (tRNA) molecules are approximately 80 nucleotides in length. Their secondary structure includes four short double-helical elements and three loops (D, anti-codon, and T loops).
Source: Rfam by way of RNAcentral